Long non-coding RNA from Diabrotica virgifera virgifera (western corn rootworm), 3742 nucleotides. RefSeq lists it as uncharacterized. Lineage: Eukaryota; Metazoa; Arthropoda; Insecta; Coleoptera; Chrysomelidae. The record is from RefSeq and is a predicted model, not a curated record. The transcript has 2 exons.
AGAGCUUGGGAUACCCAUAUCCACUCUAUAGUACAAGCGAUCAGGACUUCAUCUCACGAAGUAACCAAAUGUCCUCCAUCUUAUUUAAUGUUUGGUCGUCAUGUUCCUCUCUCUGGUGAUUAUUUUGGUAAAAUCUCAGAAAAUGCCACAAAUUUUCCUACUAUAUCAGAUAAGUUACACCGCUUAGAAGACAUUCAGAAUCUUCCUGAUAUUUAUGUUGAUGUUCGAAAACGUUUAAAGGCAUCUUAUGACAGAAAUAAGUGCCAUUAUAACCUGAGAAAGCGAGCCUUAUCUUUCAGGGUUGGAGAUUCCGUUUUAAAGAAAAAUUUUGUCAAAUCUGAUAAAGUGAAUUUCCAAUCUGCCAAGCUGUGUCAAAAAUACAUACCUUGUACUGUCAUUAAAGUUAUUUCUCCUUUAAUUUAUGAGUUAAAGGAAACUUCUACUGGUAAGAAACUGGGAAGGUUUCAUAUUAAAGACUUACUCGAGGAUAAGACAGUAGGUCCACAUAACUUGGUUGAUAAUUUAGAUUAUUCAUCUUCAGACGAAGAUUAACGUGUAAGGGACCAGUUUGUUUAUUUAAGACCUAUUUACCGGUUUUGUUUGCCUGGCCAACAUAUGUCUUUGCCAUCCAUUUUUUUUUUAAUUUUUAUCUUAUCUUAAUAUUGUUUAGUAGCUCGGUCACUAAAGCCCGGUUACUAACUCGGUCAUUUUAUUGUUAGCUGUCUCUUAAAAGAACAAAGUAUAUAUCAUAGGAGUACAGGAUGGAUAAUGGGAAUUUUCCCCAUCUUGAGUUCUUGGUUGAAUAGGUAUUUACAGGGAUAGUUAGGGAAUGUUGUUUUUUUUAAUACUCUUUUGAUUUAUGGUUUUGCAUGGGUCGCGAACCAUGGCCAUAAAACUUAUAUAGUCACAUAACUGUUUCAGGGUUUUAGCGUGGGUUCAGGAUUGAUCACCCUGGACUUGUGCACUCCACUUGGCUCAGAAAUAUAUUAAUACCUAUCAGUUGUUCCUUGAGUGUCUCUUAGGCUGAAAUUAGAAUGUGUCAUUUAGAAUUGGAUCGUUCUAAUAUUCGGCAGUAAGUAAGUCCAUUUGACUUCGAUGUCAUCUCCUAUACUAUUAUUUAUUUUAAACGAUUCGAGUUUAAUAUACCUCAUUACCUGAAGUUGUUUACCUCUCUCUCCACCACCUGCUUGGAUGUGAGUAUGUGAGUUACCUUAUUUGUCUCUCUAAUGAGCAUUAUGCUAGUAGAUGUUCUUCUGCCUUAAAUAUGAAAAGGUAGAUGUGAGGUUAUCGUUAUCUUUACCUGAAUUGACGUUGUCUUUACCUUUAUCUUGGGUUCAUGUUGUACCUUUACCUUGAUGAGUUUGUCACUUAUCUAUAUCUUGAUUGAGUAUACCUCUUACCUUUAUCUUGUGUAUAGAGUCCUAAGAAUCUGUCCUUCACUGUCUUUGUCGUGAGUGUGGAAUUGGACCACGUAAAUAGUACAGUUUAGGUAUUACAAUUAGGACAUUUAAUGUCUUUUACCUUUGUGCAGACCCUCUACCAAGAGUAGAUGCGGGCUUGCCAGUAUCUUUACCUUUUUGCAUACCCUAUACCAUGAGUAUAGUGGCAUUGCUAGGGUCUUUACCUUAUUAUGUCUUCCUACUGCUAUGAAAGCUAGUAGAGAUGUUAUGGAUUAUUUUUACCUUGAAUUUUCUAUGUUCUUGAUAUCCAGAACCACAUCAUAUAUGUUUAGGUUUCUAGUAAUAUAGUUUUAACUAGUCCUAAUAAAUUAGGCCCUCAGUGAACUCUUGGGUGAUUAAUAGAAUCUGGUCAUUCUAGUGUCAUUGUUGGGUAUAUUGAUAGGAUUCGUUUUAGGUUAGUUGUUGUAAAUGGUUCUUGGUAGUAGUAUUUUAAAGGGUUGUUAAUAUACAACCAUAAUGUAGUUUUAAUGAGGUUUAUACUAACACUUGAGAAUGUAGAUGAUAAGUGGUGUAAAUAGUUAACUUUCUCUAUAAGAUUAUAGUAUUGUAGUUAAAACGUAGGUGAUUAAGAUGUAAUUUUUUUUUUGUAUCUUCUUCCUUUCUUAACCUGUAGUCCUACUAAAUUAAAUUACGUUAUCUCGUUUGAUAACUCUGGUCAGUUACACAUCCCCUCUCUGUUAUGUCUUAUGAAAAACGUAAUUCAAUGUAUCUCGCGUAUUCUCUAUCUCUCUCUUACUGCGUCAUUGAUUUCGGUCCGGUCUCUCCUCUGCCAAUGGUUUAGGUGGUAAAAUUAACAUCAUGUCAUCCCUGAAGAAAACAAAAAAAAAGGAAACUUCUGGAAGUUUUCCUUUUUUUUACUGAAGAUAGGGGAGAAUGUAGCAUUUAUUGCUACCCCGUAAGUGUUUUAUUUGAUGCGCCUAUGUAUCUUUAUAACUCCCUAACGCUUCGACGUGUCGGCGCAGGCCGAACGACCUACGGGACGGGAGAGAGAAGCGAAACUCGUAAUAGUAAAAUCAGUUGGUUAAAGAACAUCCGCUCUGAUACGUGAGCUGUUGCUAUUUGUAGACGAACUCUGGGAAAAUAAUGGACUGAAAUUAAAUAUAUUACAUACCACCAGUAAACUAAACAUCAGGAAACUCAACAGACAAUCUCCAAAGUAACAAAAAAACAAGAAUUCAAGAAAUUAUAACAUAAAUUAUACCACGUGGUCACGUAUCAGAGAUCCCAGGGUUCGUUUUACAUUCUACAUCAUAUUUCCAUUCCACCCAUAAUAUGGAUACUUAGCUGGAUUUUUUUAUGGUUAAAUAUACCUUAUAUAACUAAUUUGGAUACUUAAUUGGAUUUUUUUUUAUGGAUAAAUAAAUGGAUAAACAUACUUUAUAUAACUAAUAGUAGGACAUCAUAAACCAUUACCGACCCGUUUCACCAAAUACAUCCACAGAACCUCUCAACUUCAGACCGCUCCACACAGAUGUUAUAGUGGCCAGAGAUUUCCCAAAUCUAGUGGACCUUCCUAUGAAUAUACCCAGGAGUUGCAAAAGAUAAGAGUUUUUUUUUUCUUUAUUUCAAUUCAUACCUAUAAAUAUUUUGGUUUUUACUCUACAGUAAUAAAUUUGUGUAAACUGUUUAUAUGCAUAUAACAGGUACCUAUACUACACUAUAUACAUAGGGUUUUGAAGUAGGAUUUUAAAUAAAGUUAGGUAAUGGUAAAUAAUAAAUAAAUAUUCAAAUAAAAUAAAUUAAUUGAUAAGGGAAAUGGGAAUUAAGACAUAUAUAAAGAUUGUCGAUAGGUUUUAAAUAAUAUUUCUGGAUAAUUCUUUAACCAAACUCAUUUUGUUAGUUUUAUAUAGCUUCCAGCAUCUAUGUUUACUUAGGUAUAGUACUUAGACAUAGAUCUGGUAUUUCGAUUGUUUCGGACACUUAAUAGUUCGAUUGGUGAGUACGUCACCCUUUAAGUCUCUGCUAGAUAAGGUAUUAAAUUUGUUUUUGUGUAACCAUUAGUUGUUCUAGUAUUAAUUAUACCUUAUCUAGUCUAGGAUCAAUUAAUAUUAGUAUACUAACCAUAGUAUAGGAUUUUGCUACGCUUACGGACACUGACCUGGUUUUCGUUAUUGAUAUUUUUAUAUUGCGCAAUAGCGGUGGUAAUUUACUUGGCGUAACCCUUUGGGUUCUAGAUUGUUAUUUUUCUCAACUCCACCACUAUUGUUUAUCUCACAUGUUGUAUAAGUAUCAUGGAUACAUUGUAAGUUGUGAAAUAUUAUAAAUAUAUUUGUUCUUAGUAA